AGGACGAACGCUGGCGGCGUGCUUAACACAUGCAAGUCGAGCGGAAAGGCCCUUCGGGGUACUCGAGCGGCGAACGGGUGAGUAACACGUGAGCAAUCUGCCCUUAGCUUCGGGAUAGCUCCGGGAAACCGGAAUUAAUACCGAAUAUGACUUCGGCCGACAUCGGCCUUGGUGGAAAGUUUUUCGGCUAGGGAUGAACUCGCGGCCUAUCAGCUUGUUGGUGGGGUAAUGGCCUACCAAGGCGACGACGGGUAGCCGGCCUGAGAGGGCGACCGGCCACACUGGGACUGAGACACGGCCCCAGACUCCUACGGGAGGCAGCAGUGGGGAUAUUGCGCAAUGGGCGAAAGCCUGACGCAGCGACGCCGCGUGGGGGAUGAAGGCCUUCGGGUUGUAAACCCCUUUCAGCAGGACGAAGCGAAGUGACGGUACUGCAGAAGAAGCGCCGGCUAACUACGUGCCAGCAGCCGC
This 471-nucleotide ribosomal RNA is filed under the name uncultured bacterium. RNAcentral describes it as "SSU rRNA". It matches the Rfam family "Bacterial small subunit ribosomal RNA", at positions 26 to 518 of the family's 1533-position model. The record is from RNAcentral.